GUUGAUUCUGGACAAAGAAAGAUAACUCCAAUUAAAAAAAAAUCUUGCUAUUGCACAAUAUUUUGCAAUUAGAUAUUUCUUGCUUACUAUUCUGGACAAAGAAAGAUAACUCUAAUUAAAUUUUUUUUUGAUAUUUCACAAUAUUGUGCAAUUAGAUAUUUCUUGCCAUUGCGCAAUACUGUGCAAUUGAAAAGACUUGCUAUUGCACAAUACUUAAUAUAAUAAUUUUAGAUCCUGAUUUGGACCAACUUGAAAACUGGGCCCAUAAUAAAAAAAUCUAAGUACAUUUUUGAAUUCAGCAUAUCAAAGAACUUCAAGAUUUCAAUUUUUGUUAAAAUCAGACUAAGUUUAAUUUUGGACCCUUUGGACUUUAGUGUAGACCAAUUUGAAAACAGGACCAAAAAUGAAGAAUCUACAUACACAGUUAGAUUUGGUAUAUCAAAGAACCCCAUUUAUUCAAUUUUUGAUGAAAUCAAACAAAGUUUAAUUUUGGACCCCGAUUUGGACCAACUUGAAAACUGGGCCAAUAAUGAAGAAUCUAAGUACAUUUUUAGAUUCAGCAUAUCAAAGAACCUAACUGAUUCAUUUUUUGUCAAAAUCAAACUAAGUUUAAUUUUGGACCCUUUGGACCUUAAUGUAGACCAAUUUGAAAACGGGACCAAAAGUUAAGAAUCUACAUACACAGUCAUGACAGUUAGAUUCAGCAUAUCAAAGAACCCCAAUUAUUCAAUUUUGAUGAAAUCAAACAAAAGUUUAAUUUUGGACCCUUUGGGCCCCUUAUUAUGUUGGGACCAAAACUCCCAAAAUCAAACCCAACCUUUCUUUUAUGGUCAUAAACCUUGUGUUUAAAUUUCAUAGAUUUCUAUUUACUUAUACUAACGUUAUGGUGCGAAAACAAAGAAAAAUGCUUAUUUGGGUCCCUUUUUGGCCCCUAAUUCCUAAACUGUUGGGACCUAAACUCCCAAAAUCAAUACCAACCUUCCUUUUGUAGUCAUUAACAUUGUGUUUAAAUUUCAUUGAUUUCUAUUUACUUAAACUAAUGUUAUUGUGCGAAAACCAAGAAUAAUGCUUAUUUGGGCCCUUUUUUGGCCCCUUAUUCCUAAACUGUUGAGACCAAAACUCCCAAAAUCAAUCCCAACCGUUCUUUUGUGGUCAUAAACCUUGUGUCAAAAUUUCAUAGAUUUCUAUUAACUUAAACUAAAGUUAUAGUGCGAAAACCAAGAAAAUGCUUAUUUGGGCCCUUUUUGGCCCUAAUUCCUAAAAAUGUUGGGACCAAAACUCCCAAAAUCAAUACCAACCUUCCUUUUGUGGUCAUAAACCUUGUGUUAAAAUUGCAUAGAUUUCCAUUCACUUUUACUAAAGUUAGAGUGCGAAAACUAAAAGUAUUCGGACGCCGGACGACGACGCCGACGCCAACGUGAUAGCAAUAUACGACGAAAAUUUUUUCAAAAUUUGCGGUCGUAUAAAAAAUGCUUGUUUUUAGCCCUUUUUUGGCCCCUUAUUCCUGCAUGAAUGGAGCAAUAACCCCAAACUCAAUCCCAGCUUUCCUUUUGUUUUUUGGAACUUUGUGGUACAAUGUCAGAGAAAUCCAU
Molecule: long non-coding RNA, 1592 nt
Filed under: Mytilus galloprovincialis (Mediterranean mussel)
Lineage: Eukaryota; Metazoa; Mollusca; Bivalvia; Mytilida; Mytilidae
Source: RNAcentral